RNA transcript from Vitis riparia (riverbank grape), 2223 nucleotides. It is a transcript of the gene named cyclin-T1-3-like, with no coding region annotated. The transcript has 8 exons. The record is from RefSeq and is a predicted model, not a curated record. NCBI's taxonomy places the organism in Eukaryota, Viridiplantae, Streptophyta, Magnoliopsida, Vitales, Vitaceae.
UAAGUUGUUAACGGUAGCUUCAGCUUAGGGUUUUCUCUCAAGGUUUAACCCCACGUGUCUGAGUCUUCGUUUCUUCUAUUACGCUGUGCCUGGUUUACGAGAAAUCUACUUCAAGAAAUUAGUCUGCCCUAGAGAGAGAGAGAGGGAGAGAGAGAGAGCUGCUAAAUAAACAGGGCUUCGACAGUUGUAUUUUAGGUUCACAAUUCCCUUUUGUUUCCUUGGGAAUAGAAGGUGACCAUGUCUGAACAGUUACGAAGAAAUCCUUCUCAGCAUGGAAUUGCAAGAGAUGCAAUUAGCUUGUACAUGCCAGAAGAGCCUCAGUGCUCUGCACGUAAGUGGUACUUCAGUAUACAAGAAAUAGAACAUCAUUCUCCAUCUCGGAAGGAUGGCAUUGACCCUAAGAAGGAAGCACAGUUACGGAAGUUGUAUUGUUCAUUUCUUUGGGAACUUGGCAUGAAGCUUAAAGUGCCCCAGGUGGCAAUAGCAACUGCACUGAUGUUGUGCCAUCGCUUUUAUCUGCGUCAGUCUCUUGCAAAAAAUGAUUGGCAGAUAAUUGCAACUGUAAGCAUGUUUCUUGCUUGUAAAGCAGAGGAAACACCCCGCUUGCUAAGGGAUGUUAUUAUUAUGGCAUAUGAGAUGACUUAUAGGUGUGAUCCUCCUGCCCUGAAAAGAAUCAAGCAGAGAGAAGUUUUUGAUAAGCAGAAGGAAUUAAUAUUAAUUGGAGAGAGACUUCUACUGGGGACCAUUGCUUUUGAUCUCAACAUCGAACACCCCUACAAGCCAAUUGUUGAUGCUUUAAAGAGAAUGGGGAUUUCAAAUAAUGACCUUGUGAAAGCAGCACAGAAUUUAAUCAAUGACUGGCUUUGCACAACAUUGUGCUUGCAGUACAAACCUCAUUAUAUUGCAGCUGGUUCACUGUUUCUUGCUGCCAAAUUCCACAAAGUGAAACUUCCUACAGAAAAAGGAAAGGUUUGGUGGCUGCAGUUUGAUGUUGCACCUAAACAAUUAGAAGAGGUCAUUCAACAGAUGCGCAAGUUGUUGGAGAACAAAACACAGGCUCCAUCUCCUACACACGCUAGGAUGACUAAACCUACAGUUGUACUUGGAAACACAACGUCCCAUUACCCACAACCAUGCACUGCUCGGGAAUCCAGCCAUGGCAGUACUGUUGGGAAACCUUUGGUGUCCAAGGGCAGUCUGAAUGUGGCCUAUAGUGACAGUCACUGCAUUGUGAAAGAAGUGAUUCAACAUCAGACGAGUGGCACUAGUAGUGCAACUAGUGUUGUUGAGGAUGGGGAUGGCGAGAUUCAUUCAAGAACAAGAGAAUCUGAAAGGAACUCAAGUUACAAGUUUGUUUCCGUUCAUGGUAAAUACAGUAAGAUAAAUGCAAACCCAAAUAAAGAGAAGCCUUUGGAAAGGAGAUGUUCUACUGCUUCAAAGAGGUCAACAGUAGCCAGAGGUGAUGAGAUGUAUAGUGAAGUGUAUAUAGAUGGUGAUCUGCGGAAAGGAAGAGAGCAGGGAUAUGCCAAUUCACAUAAGAAACAGAGGAGGGUGUUGUUAGGCUUUUGAACUUGAACUUUAGUUUCAUGAUACUUGCAGAACAAAUUUCUGUCUCCUAUUCAUGUCAGAACAACUAUGGGUUGACAAAUGGAAUUCAUCAAAUUAGGCGUCAGGGCAGAGAGCAAGGAUUGGGCCUUUGAGGAUGGGUUGGGAUGGGAACAUCAUGUGUCGUGCCCAGGUUUUAUGGGGCAACAUAUAACAUAUUGUUCUUUAAUCUGUAAAAGAAUCUUGUCCUCUUUCAAUCAAAUCUUAUGUCCUCUUUUCACUACUAUAAAGUUGAUCACUGUAGAAAAGCCGGUCUUAUAUUUUUGAACUUUGGAGAUGGACCGACCGACACACACACACACAUACACACGCACACUCACACGCACAUUCCUGUUGUGAUGAUUCAGGAGUCUCCCUUUAUUUCACUUCCACAAAAAAUGGGCAGCACACCAGAGGGAAAGGGUCUUCAUAACAUCUCAUCCUUGUACCCCACAAACGUCCCUCUUGUUCUUCAUAACUACACCCACAGUUGCAACUCCCUUCCAAACAAAAGUUGGGUUGAUUAAAAGAUUUGGGCAAUUGUUGAAUCACACAUGUAAUGCAUGUAACCCUUUAUUCUCAGUAAAAGUAGUCUUUUUCCAAAGUCAUUCAAGGCGAUAACAUUGACUGAUAAUUUGG